Eucalyptus grandis is the source of this 433-nucleotide long non-coding RNA. RefSeq lists it as uncharacterized. Lineage: Eukaryota; Viridiplantae; Streptophyta; Magnoliopsida; Myrtales; Myrtaceae. The record is from RefSeq and is a predicted model, not a curated record. The transcript is spliced from 2 exons.
AAAAAAUUUAUCAAUGUUAUUGAUCGACUUUGGGUUUGGGCUUCGGGAGACAGCGGCGACGCGGAUGGGAGAGUGCCGGUGAUCGGGUCGAGGUACUGCGUAGAAGCUCUCGGGCUGUCUAUUAAAUCGCCAUGGCGCUCGUGGUACCAUGAUCAUCAGGUUGCGGGGAGGAUAGUGGAAUAUGAGGGAGGAUUGGCACUAGUAACAGUAAGAGGUGCUGGUCACUUGGUGCCUCUGGACAAGCCCAGUGAGGCCCUUGCUCUCCUUCACUCUUUCUUGACCGGUCAAGAUCUCCGCAGGCAGAGAUAAAAAAAUUUAUUCUUUUUAUCCUGCUAUUUUCAUUUUCCCUGAGGGACAGAGUUAAAACAAAUAAUAAAAUGUGUCUGAUUUUCAUAUAUUUUGAAAGGAAGUGAUGGUAAUUUCUACGUUUGCA